Molecule: ribosomal RNA, 497 nt
Filed under: uncultured bacterium
Lineage: Bacteria
Description: partial 16S ribosomal RNA
Rfam family: Bacterial small subunit ribosomal RNA
Source: RNAcentral
GAUGAACGCUGGCGGCGUGCCUAAUACAUGCAAGUCGAGCGAACGGACGCGAAGCUUGCUUCUCUGAUGUUAGCGGCGGACGGGUGAGUAACACGUGGAUAACCUACCUAUAAGACUGGGAUCACUUCGGGAAACCGGAGCUAAUCCCGGAUAAUAUUUUGAACCGUAUGGUUCAAAAGUGAAAGACGGUCUUGCUGUCACUUAUCGAUGGAUCCGCGCUGCAUUAGCUAGUUGGUAAGGUAACGGCUUACCAAGGCAACGAUGCAUAGCCGACCUGAGAGGGUGAUCGGCCACACUAGAACUGAGACGCGGUCCAGACUCCUACGGGAGGCAGCAGUAGGGAAUCGUCCGCAAUGGGCGAAAGCCUGACGGAGCAACGCCGCGUGAGUGAUGAAGGUCUUCGGAUCGUAAAACUCUGUUAUUAGGGAAGAACAUAUGUGUAAGUAACUGUGCACAUCUUGACGGUACCUAAUCAGAAAGCCACGGCUAACUACGUG